GGAGCCGAGAAGAGAAGGGAGCAAGACGUGCGAGCAGAGUGGAGAGCGCGCCGCGGCUGAGCGCCGCGAGUACUGCGCUAGCGCGCGGCGCGGAGUCCAAACCCGGCCUUCAACUCCCUACUGAUGCACCUUGGAAAGCAGCAGAAGAUGUACCGAGUUGUUAGGCCCCUGCACCCACAUGGGAGACCCAGAUGGAACCCCAGGCUCCUGGUUUUGAUCUGGUCCAGACCCAGCUAUUGUAGCUACUUGGGGGAAUGAGCCAAUAGAUGGAAGACCUCUGCAUCUCUCACUGUAACUCUUUCAAACAAAUAGAUAAAA
Molecule: long non-coding RNA, 318 nt
Organism: Ochotona princeps (American pika)
Lineage: Eukaryota; Metazoa; Chordata; Mammalia; Lagomorpha; Ochotonidae
Exons: 2
Source: RefSeq, a predicted model, not a curated record